This is a long non-coding RNA of Nyctereutes procyonoides (raccoon dog), 1732 nucleotides long. RefSeq lists it as uncharacterized. The transcript is spliced from 2 exons. NCBI's taxonomy places the organism in Eukaryota, Metazoa, Chordata, Mammalia, Carnivora, Canidae. The record is from RefSeq and is a predicted model, not a curated record.
GUUUAGUCCGGGGUCUGGGUACCGUCUCCACACGCACUACAACACUCUCCACGACACCUGAUCGCCGCCACUGUUACCCCUUUUGUCUGGAACACAACAAGGGCUCAGCUCCUGGUGGCUGAUUCAGGACUCAUGGCCUUAGACCAACAGAUGGAGUCCAUCUUCUAACAGAACCUGGAACCAGCAGUCUCUUUGCUUGGUGUUUUGCUCUGACUUGUACCAAGAUGAAUAUGUUGCAAAUUUACCAAUCUCAGAAAGAAAAAGGUACUUGUAGGGACAUUACCGGAACUGUGACAAGUUUCACUUGUCUAAGCAAUUGUAUCUGCCCAGCAGGAACAUGGUAAACACUGGGUUUUAGUUUUCAAAGAAAAGGAAACUCUAAAAUUUUACAGUUUUCCCAAUGAAACACUGGAGAUCAAGAAGCAUGCUUGAUUUGUCCAAGUAACUUGGUAUCAUCACUUCUUUUUAAAUUGUUAUGUAGCAUAAGUCUCCCCUGCUUGCCUCUAUGGCAUCUCUUCACUGUCCCUUCCCUUCCAUUCCCAUUCCUGGGGUGUUUUCUUGCCUCUGUUGCUACUGGCUUAUCUGUAUCCAGUCUCGCCACAUUCAAAACCAUCUUCUACAUAGCCACCCGAGGGGUUUUCCCAAACAGAAAUUGUGUUAUGUCAUUCCACUUUGUAAAAUCCUUCAACCUUUAAGUCCUAGCUCUUUAAAUGGCAAUCAAGGACCUGGUCCUUUGAGAAAGUAAAAAGCAUCACUGGCAGCUAGCCUGUGAUAUUCCCAACUGAAGCCAAGCUGUGCUCACAGGGCAAGGAUGAGACAACUUCACUUCACGACCAUAUCUGAAACAGAGACAAGGAUACUCUGCAACUACAAAAUGACUAUCCUAUCUCCCUCUCCCCGUUAAGAUGGAAGACUUCACUGUGGAUGAUAUUAGUCCCAUUUUGUUUCUUCUAUCUCCUGGAUAAAAUGAUUAAACAUCCAAUUACCAAAUCACCCCUGCUCGUAAUGGCCCUCAAUACAGAACAGGCCUACAUUUUCUUGGAUGCUGUUUAGAAUCACCCAGCAAGAUCCCAAAUCCUGUAAUGAGCCCUUCCUAACUCUCCAUUACAGAGCUAUUCCAUGGACCUUCUGCUGAUCAUUCUCUGUUGCUACAAUGAGCUAAAUAAAUUUGUCCUUUUGGCCUGAGAUUAUUGAUAGUUUUGGGUCAUUGCUUUAACCUAUCUCUGUCCUCCACAUUGUGUCCUGCAGUCAGAGCAAGACCACAUGCAGUUUCCCACACAUCUGUCUUUUAGCACCUUGGCUUCUUUUUUCUUUUUCCACAUAGAAAACUAUCCUACUUUCAGAAUCCAACUCACAUGUCAACUCAUGUAUGAAUACUUCCCAAACCCUACAUAUCAUCUUGGGCCGAGUUCCCAUUGUUUUGGAUUAACUCUAGCCAGAUCCCAUGAAGUAGAGGCUCACAUCUGUGGACACUGGAAUGAGAGAAGACCAGAUUCAAGUUGUGGCUUUGGCAAUGUAUGACCUUGAGAACUUUACUUAUGACUCAGUCAGAUGCCAUUCCCCCAACUAAUUCUAUUUAAUCAUUAGGACACAUUGACACUUAAGAAAUGACCCUGAAACCAACUGUGCACAUAUUAACAGUCCUGCGGCUUAGAACAAUACAUCUUUUCCUUAUUUGGAGCUUAAUAAGACAAUGUCCAAGACUGACAAAUAAAUCAUGCUCAUUUCUUUC